Molecule: ribosomal RNA, 432 nt
Filed under: uncultured bacterium
Lineage: Bacteria
Description: partial 16S ribosomal RNA
Rfam family: Bacterial small subunit ribosomal RNA
Source: RNAcentral
AACGAACGCUGGCGGCAUGCCUAACACGUGCAAGUCGAACGAGACCUUCGGGUCCAGUGGCGCACGGGUGCGUAACGCGUCGGAACCUGCCCUUAGGGUCGGAAUAACUCUCCGACAGGGGUGCUAAUACCGGAUAAUGUCUUCGGACCAAAGAUUUAUCGCCUUUGGAUGGGCCCGCGUUGGAUUAGCUAGUUGGUAGGGUAAAAGCCUACCAAGGCGGCGAUCCAUAGCUGGUCUGAGUGGAUGAUCAGCCACACUGGGACUGAGACACGGCCCAGACUCCUACGGGAGGCAGCAGGGGGGAAUAUUGGACGAUGGGCGAAAGCCUGAUGCAGCAGGGCCGUGAGAGUGAUGAAGGCGUUAGGGUUGUAAAGCUCUUUUACCCGGGAUGAUAAUGAGAGUACCGGGAGAAUAAGCUCCGGCUAACUCCGU